This is a non-coding RNA of Danionella cerebrum, 75 nucleotides long. Lineage: Eukaryota; Metazoa; Chordata; Actinopteri; Cypriniformes; Danionidae. The record is from the annotation of a GenBank genome assembly.
CCUUUCCUGUGGCUCAGACAGUAGAGCAUUGCACUAUCAAUGCAAGGGUCUUGGGAUCUAACCCCAGGGAAAGCA